GAUGAACGCUGGCGGCGUGCCUAAUACAUGCAAGUCGAGCGAACAGAUGAGGAGCUUGCUCCUCUGACGUUAGCGGCGGACGGGUGAGUAACACGUGGAUAACCUACCUAUAAGACUGGGAUAACUUCGGGAAACCGGAGCUAAUACCGGAUAAUAUAUUGAACCGCAUGGUUCAAUAGUGAAAGACGGUUUUGCUGUCACUUAUAGAUGGAUCCGCGCCGCAUUAGCUAGUUGGUAAGGUAACGGCUUACCAAGGCAACGAUGCGUAGCCGACCUGAGAGGGUGAUCGGCCACACUGGAACUGGGACACGGUCCAGACUCCUACGGGAGGCAGCAGUAGGGAAUCUUCCGCAAUGGGCGAAAGCCUGACGGAGCAACGCCGCGUGAGUGAUGAAGGUCUUAGGAUCGUAAAACUCUGUUAUUAGGGAAGAACAAAUGUGUAAGUAACUAUGCACGUCUUGACGGUACCUAAUCAGAAAGCCACGGCUAACUACGUG
This 497-nucleotide ribosomal RNA is filed under the name uncultured bacterium. RNAcentral describes it as "partial 16S ribosomal RNA". It matches the Rfam family "Bacterial small subunit ribosomal RNA", at positions 28 to 507 of the family's 1533-position model. The record is from RNAcentral.